This 387-nucleotide RNase P RNA is filed under the name Myxococcales bacterium. RNAcentral's name for it is "RNase P RNA component class A". It matches the Rfam family "Bacterial RNase P class A". Rfam says of the family: Ribonuclease P (RNase P) is a ubiquitous endoribonuclease, found in archaea, bacteria and eukarya as well as chloroplasts and mitochondria. Its best characterised activity is the generation of mature 5'-ends of tRNAs by cleaving the 5'-leader elements of precursor-tRNAs. The record is from RNAcentral. Lineage: Bacteria; Pseudomonadati; Myxococcota; Myxococcia; Myxococcales.
GGAGCGGCUCGAGCGGUCGCCGGCGCGGCGUGGCUCGCCACCCGCGCGGGAGGAAAGUCCGAGCUCCGCAGGGCAGGGUGCCAGGUAACGCCUGGUGGGGGCGACCCCGAGGAAAGUGCCACAGAGAGCAGACCGCCGCGCCGCAUCGCGCCGCGCGGUAAGGGUGAAAGGGUGAGGUAAGAGCUCACCGGGCCGGUGGUAACACCGGUCGCACGGCAAACCCCACCUGGAGCAAGAUGGAAUAGGGGAGCGUUCGAGGGCGGCCCGCCCGAGCUCCCGGGUUACAUCGCUCGAGGCGCGCGGCGACGCGCGCCCUAGAUGAAUGGCCGCUGCCCGCUCCGCGGUGACGCGCGCGGGUACAGAACUCGGCUUAUGAGCCCUCCAGCC